UACGGAGGGGGCUAGCGUUGUUCGGAAUUACUGGGCGUAAAGCGCACGUAGGCGGCCUUGUAAGUCAGGGAUGAAAUCCCGGGGCUCAACCUCGGAACUGCCUUUGAUACUGCAAGUCUCGAGUCCGGAAGAGGUGAGUGGAAUUCCUAGUGUAGAGGUGAAAGUCGUAGAGAGUAGGAAGAACAACAGUGGCGAAGGCGGCUCACUGGUCCGGUACUGACGCUGAGGUGCGAAAGCGUGGGGAGCAAACAGG
Molecule: ribosomal RNA, 253 nt
Filed under: uncultured bacterium
Lineage: Bacteria
Description: partial 16S ribosomal RNA
Rfam family: Bacterial small subunit ribosomal RNA
Source: RNAcentral